GAUGAACGCUGGCGGCGUGCCUAAUACAUGCAAGUCGAGCGAACGGACGAGAAGCUUGCUUCUCUGAUGUUAGCGGCGGACGGGUGAGUCACACGUGGAUAACCUACCUAUAAGACUGGGAUAACUUCUGGAAACCGGAGCUAAUACCGGAUAAUAUUUUGAACCGCAUGGUUCAAAAGUGAAAGACGGUCUUGCUGUCACUUAUACAUGGAUCCGCGCUGCAUUAGCUAGUUGGUAAGGUAACGGCUUACCAAGGCAACGAUGCAUAGCCGACCUGAGAGGGUGAUCGGCCACACUGGAAGUGAGACACGGGCCAGACUACUAGGGGAGUCAGCAGUAGGGGAUCUUCCGCAAUGAGCGAAGGCCUGACGGAGCAACGCCGCGUGGGUGAUGAAGGUCUUCGGAUCGUAAAACUCUGUUAUUAGGGAAGAACAUAUGUGUAAGUAACUGUGCACAUCUUGACGGUACCUAAUCAGAAAGCCACGGCUAACUACGUG
Molecule: ribosomal RNA, 497 nt
Filed under: uncultured bacterium
Lineage: Bacteria
Description: partial 16S ribosomal RNA
Rfam family: Bacterial small subunit ribosomal RNA
Source: RNAcentral